This 363-nucleotide ribosomal RNA is filed under the name Triticum aestivum (bread wheat). Its description in RNAcentral is "partial small subunit ribosomal RNA". Lineage: Eukaryota; Viridiplantae; Streptophyta; Magnoliopsida; Poales; Poaceae. The record is from RNAcentral.
AUGUUCAACAAGAGGCUGGACUCCAAGUACUCUGAGAGGGAAAGGGACCCACUGCUUGCAAAAUACAUUGAAGAUGAGCCACCAAAUGAGUGGAUGUUGGAUGAAGAGCUACUACAAGAUGAUGAGUCAUCUGAAGAUGAAGCUGAAAUUGACAUCAAUUCAAAGGGGAAACAAAAAUCUGUAGCUUCAAGAACUAGAGGAAAAAGAGCUCCUACAAAUCAAGAUGUUGAAGAUGAGGAGGAAGUGGCAGAAGAAGAGGAAAUGGAAGAAGAGGAUGAGAACCAAGAAGCUGAGGAGGACAAUGAUGAAGACCAAGAAGUGGACAUCGAUCUGACUGUUGAAGAUGAAGAGGAUGGUGAAUGA